CAUAACUGCCGUGGUGGUGGAAGGUGCUAAUAUCAAUGGUGGUCUAUCACAGGAAGUAGUCAAUCUACACACCCCACAGCAAAUAUCUCUCUUACAUUUUCCAUCUCAUGCUUUGUCAUGUUACUGACAGACAGUCCCAGAUUUAAUGCAAUUUCCUUCAAUUCUCAGUCUGUAGUGUGGAUAGUAAGUAUGGUUGGUGCCACUGAAUAUACAAAAUUCAUGCUUCCCCUGCAAGCCCGCCAGUUAUUUAAAUACUCCUGAAUGCCUUGGGGUGUUUGUGAUAUAUAGUUACUGGGUGACUCUG
Pelobates cultripes (western spadefoot toad) is the source of this 304-nucleotide non-coding RNA. The record is from the annotation of a GenBank genome assembly. Lineage: Eukaryota; Metazoa; Chordata; Amphibia; Anura; Pelobatidae.